GUCGAGAAUCUUUCACAAUGGGGGCAACCCUGAUGGAGCGACGCCGCGUGGAGGAUAAGGUCUUCGGAUUGUAAACUCCUGUCAUGCGUGAACAAGGUUGCUUGGUUAAUACCUGGGCAAAUUGAUGGUAACGCAAGAGGAAGAGACGGCUAACUCUGUGCCAGCAGCCGCGGUAAUACAGAGGUCUCAAGCGUUGUUCGGAAUCACUGGGCGUAAAGGGUGCGUAGGUGGCGUGGUAAGUCAGAUGUGAAAGCCCGGGGCUCAACCUCGGAACUGCAUCCGAUACUGCCAUGCUAGAGUACUGGAGAGGUGACUAGAAUUCUCGGUGUAGCAGUGAAAUGCGUAGAUAUCGAGAGGAAUACCAAAGGCGUAGGCAGGUCACUGGACAGUUACUGACACUGAGGCACGAAAGCGUGGGGAGCAAACAGGAUUAGAUACCCUAGUAGUCC
This 449-nucleotide ribosomal RNA is filed under the name uncultured bacterium. RNAcentral describes it as "partial 16S ribosomal RNA". It matches the Rfam family "Bacterial small subunit ribosomal RNA", at positions 354 to 796 of the family's 1533-position model. The record is from RNAcentral.